GGGGCAUUAGCUCAGCUGGGAGAGCGUUACACUGGCAGUGUAAAGGUCAGCAGUUCGAUCCUGCUAUGCUCCACCA
This 76-nucleotide transfer RNA is filed under the name Bacteriovoracaceae bacterium. Its description in RNAcentral is "tRNA-Ala". It matches the Rfam family "tRNA". From Rfam's summary of the family: Transfer RNA (tRNA) molecules are approximately 80 nucleotides in length. Lineage: Bacteria; Pseudomonadati; Bdellovibrionota; Bacteriovoracia; Bacteriovoracales; Bacteriovoracaceae. The record is from RNAcentral.